This 253-nucleotide ribosomal RNA is filed under the name uncultured bacterium. RNAcentral describes it as "partial 16S ribosomal RNA". It matches the Rfam family "Bacterial small subunit ribosomal RNA", at positions 524 to 776 of the family's 1533-position model. The record is from RNAcentral.
UACGGAGGGUGCGAACGUUGCUCGGAAUCAUUGGGCGUAAAGGGUGCGUAGGCGGGUCUUUAAGUCAGGGGUGAAAUCCUGGAGCUCAACUCCAGAACUGCCUUUGAUACUGAAGAUCUUGAGUUCGGGAGAGGUGAGUGGAACUGCGAGUGUAGAGGUGAAAUUCGUAGAUAUUCGCAAGAACACCAGUGGCGAAGGCGGCUCACUGGCCCGAUACUGACGCUGAGGCACGAAAGCGUGGGGAGCAAACAGG